Molecule: long non-coding RNA, 372 nt
Organism: Sinocyclocheilus anshuiensis
Lineage: Eukaryota; Metazoa; Chordata; Actinopteri; Cypriniformes; Cyprinidae
Exons: 3
Source: RefSeq, a predicted model, not a curated record
AGGACCAAGAUGGCACAUUUAGGUGGGUGGACAAAACUGCAGUGGAGUUUUCAAACUGGAGCCCAAAUUUCCCUCAGAACUCAGCAAACCUGUGGGACUGUGGUCAGAUUUACACCGGAAACUAUGCUGGAAAAUGGGAAACCACGAACUGCUUUAAAAACCUGGGAUAUAUUUGCAAGAUGCCUGGAGGACAGAAUGUGAAGCCCACAGCGGCUCCAGACUCACACUGUGAUGAAGGCUAUCUGCUCUUCGGUGAACACUGCUAUCACUUUGAGACUGAAACAGUCAAGAACUGGCAAGAUGCAGAAAAUUUCUGUGUGGCUCAGAACGGACACCUGGUCAGCAUCCACAACCAAGAAACCGUCAGCUUUC